Molecule: long non-coding RNA, 7205 nt
Organism: Topomyia yanbarensis
Lineage: Eukaryota; Metazoa; Arthropoda; Insecta; Diptera; Culicidae
Exons: 2
Source: RefSeq, a predicted model, not a curated record
UUUGUUUGGUUUUGUUGUCCUCCCUUACAUUUUGUUACCUUAGUUAUUAUUAUUGUUUCCGUUUUCACACGAAGUUUGUAAAUGCUUUGACGAGUUUUGGCAUCUCCCUUCCAAAAAAAAAACAGAAAAUUAUCGAAAAUAUGAAACUACGACAUUUUGCGAUACGAUUACGAAAAGAAGAUAUAUAUCGGUGUUGGUUUGUAAAUUUGGUAUCCCACUUGAUAGAUACUUGCACUCGAUUGAUAAGGUAGGAAAAAGGUAUGUUUAGAACUAUUGCAAAAAUCAGUAAAUUUACCACUGAACUUCACGUAGGUUCAACCUAAACUUGUAUCUCGUCUUAUAGAAAUGUGGCCAACUAGCUGAGGAUUCAAAAUAAAGCAUUUGAUUGUGAUUGUAGUAGCCACUAGAAGCAUGCGUUUUUAGUUUUCUCAUAUAUCACGACAGUAAAAGGAGACGAAGAAAACCAAAUACGUAUGUAACCUCUCAUUACAAGCAUAGAUCAGCAAAGGCUCGUGAGCUUUAGUACAUCAGCUAAGCUGAAUUGUAGUUGAAAGUUGAUUACUAAAUAUGGUAAAGAUGUAAUAAAAAACUGUUCUUAAAUUCAUGGAAACCCGUAUUCCUGAAACUUUGUGUUUCCACAAAACUAGUUCACACCUAAAGAAGAAUUACUAAGUAAUGUCAGAGACACAACCGGAGUAAAGAAGAAUAUAUUUUCAACUUUUAAAUCGUAUGCUAAGCUUAUUAUCAUUUUCUUAAACAUUGCAUUAAAAUCAGGUAAACUUUGAUAAACCCCGUUGAAAUAAGUUUCCAUUCUACCACUACACAAUACUCUACUAGAGUUUUAACAGAGACGAUCCUGCUUCUUACUAGCAAUAAUAGUGGUUAGCUUUGACUUGUUCGUAAUAAAGAAGCAGUUUCCGCACAUGGGGUUCGAGAUUUUUCCUUAAAAGAUUUAUCUAAUCCGAAGAGGCAAAUGACCUGAAGUUUAAAACCUAUAUAAUCGAAAUAAUAAAGCAUUAUCUUUUGUUGUAGAGUGAUGUUUUAUUGCCAUUGACUUUUCAGGUCACUAUAUCGGACUGUAAUGAAUAUGUUCGAAUAUUGUCACUUGCUUAAAAUUAUAUUAAAAUCCGUUGUUUAUGGAAAUCGUGAAAUAUUUCAUUUUAGUACAAACUUUCGGAAGAUAGUAAAAAUCACUGCGCUCGAAUUAACAGUUUCAUAUGUAUUCUACUCCAUUCCGGAUAUAGCCCUGCCUUUACCGAUCUAUUCUUUUGUGUCUUAUAGUUGGAAAUUAACAUAAACAAAUACAAAACCUUUAAAACAUCCGACCAAGCCUCCUUCGUGUUUGGCGACCGGUUAUUUAAUGUAUUCAACUUCAAACCAUAAGCUAAAUAGUUGUUAAACCAAUCGAAGACAGCUGCUCGAAGGCGACGGAUGGAUCAUCUCUCCGGGAUAAUACAUAUUAACACCGCCUGAGAAGACAAUUUUUGGAGAGGGGCCGGUCGAUAGAUUGUUUUCUCUAUUAAGUUGUUAAAUCCUGUUUUUUUGUGUAUCUUUGUGUAUUCUUACUUUUUUAGUGUAUUCUUACAGUGUAAAAGCGUCUUCUGUUUGCUUUUGUGUUGUGAAAAAAUCAGCGAAGAACGCAAUCGAGUGAACAUGAUGCAUCUGCGACUUAAGCACCAAAAAUUUCUACCGAACGCAGGGCCAUCUAUAUAUCAGUGUCUGCAUUCUCAGAUUGGUACGCAUUAUGGCGAUGCAAAUGCAUUUUGCAAAAAUAUAGUGCAUAUGUAGUGCGGGAAACAACUUAACGAGCCGUUCUUGAAAAUCUUGCCGAAACCCCAUAUUUACUUUGGAUGUGCAAUGUAUGUGUCAAGCUGAUGAGGUUUACUUGCUUUCGCGACACCGUUUCGUCGCCUGGGUGUGUUUUCGCAGCUAUCGCUGGGAACUGUUCUGAACUGAGAGCCGAGUUAUUCAAAAAUAACCAGUAAAUUUCGCGCUUCAGAAACGUCGUCACGAGGAUAGCCCUGAUCCGAGCAAUAUUCUUGUUGGUGGUCAAAACUAGUCGAUAAUAGCAACAUUGUCACGGUUCCACCUUGCCGCCGUUGCUCUAAUUGUAUCUUUCCCGGUUUCAUCCCAGCGUUAGCAAGGAGAUUGUCGAAAAAAUCUCCAAAGAUGCUUGUUAAAAAAGUCAGUACUUUGAACUUUAUAUCCUUCAAAGUUGGAGUUCACCCAAAGUACCGUGAUGCAACUCAUAACCCUGAUACAUGGCCGUAAGGCAUACUGCUCAGGGAAUUUUAGGAUAGCCGUUCCCAGAACAUUUGGUGCCCGCCGACUGAAUUUCCCCCACCUCCAGAAGUAGCAUGUACUCCGCUAAUGCAAGCUGGCUCACCAACGACCCUACAAAGGACUUCGCAACGUUCAGCAGUCGUCCCGGUCCUGUAUGUGAGGGAGCAGAAGGGGUCUUCCAAGCAGGCUUUUCUCGGCAAGUAUUAUACUAUUAGUAUUGUAACGAUACAAUGGUUAAACUGAUUCACGCGUCUAGCUCAUCGUCUGACUAUCGCCGUAAGCUACUACCGUCCCGUUUCUGCACUCAACAUUGCACCAUCGUGGUUCAACACAUACUGGAGCGCAUUGCAGUUGGCGCUAUGGAAGCCCUCGAUUCCCCCGCCACAGUCGAGCAAUUGAAGCCAGCGAUCAUCAGUCGUCCUGCUUCUGUGUGUGGGAUGGGUGAAAGAGUCUUCCAACCCGCCACAAAUAGCAAGUAUGCAUCUGAUUCGAAUAUUUCAAGCUUCGCUUCCAGAUAAUUUGCAUUUUGCUCAGACAUCUUGUGACCAGAUAUCCAUUGUUUCUCCCGCCGAUGACGAUCGCCGUAUUCUGGGGCGCGACGCAGUUGAUUCGGGAUGCCUCGAAUCCCCCACCACAAUCGACCAAGCGAUCGUGAGCCAUUCCAAUACUGUUCGUGGGGUUGACGAAAGAAACGGUAACAUGGCUUCGCUCUCUGCUGAACCUGAUUCGUCCUCCAACAACAUCGAGGUUUACUACCAGAAUGUUGGUGGCUUAAAUUCAUCAACGGACAGCUAUUUGCUGGCGAUCACGGGCUGCUGUUAUGACGAUACCACCUUGACUGAGACGUGCCUCGACAACCGAACCCUGUCUCGCCAGAUGUUUGGUUCAACAUUCGAUGUCUACUGCUGUGACCGCAAUGCUCUCAACAGCCACAAGACAUCAGGUGGUGGUGUGCUUAUCACCGUUUGCCGUGGUAUAAAAACCCAAAUAAUCAACGAUGACCAUGGUAUAAAAACCCAAGUGAUCAACGAGCUCCGAGCAAGUGUGGAUAUCAGUGAAACUUUGUCGAUCGCAAUCUGUUCCUGUGUGUCGUGUAUUUUCCACCUGACAGAAUUCGUGAUUUCAGCCUGACCGAUGUACAUCUUUCCUCCGUUUCUUUCAUGACUUCGAUUGCCGCCGUCUUAUGAUAUUGUUAUGCUGGGCGAAUACAACGUACCUGGCUUGACGUGGUACAAGGGAAGUGAAGGAUUUCUACGACAAAUCUGCGCUUAUCAACAAUGCCAGUUGUAUUCUGGAAAGCUACGGCAGCGCAACUUUUCGGCAAAUCAAUAAUGUCAUCAGCGAGAAUGGACGUACAUCGUUUUGUUUGUUUGUUUUAUUUACGUGACUUUAAAAAGGCCGGACAUUGGACCUCUGCUUUGUAAGUGCCCGGGACUACGCUCUGUACUGCUGCACUACGCCAACUCCUUUAGUCCAGCAUGUGCGUCAUAAUUCCCCACUACAUCUUGUACUCGCUGGUAACCUAGGAGUGAACUUUGAAGGCGUCACAAGCUCUAUCGCUGACUACGGCAGCAUCAUUAGCACGCUGUUGGAUAUAAACUGGGACGAAAAUCUUAAUAAUGAUGACGAGAACGAUGCACUGAUGAUAUUUUCUAGUAUUCUUAACUACCUAAUCGACCGUCAUGUGCUAAAACGAACAAGUAGUACCAAUCAACACCCUCUUUAGCAAUCAACCGUCCUUAGACGAUUAAAGACUGCCAAACCAGCUGCAGUUAUUUUCAAUAUUUUCAAAACAUGAGACACUUGCAUUACGGAACCAUUGCUCUCAGCUCAAUCAAGAAUACAAACAGCAAAGCAGUCACGCCUUUUUAGACACCAGCGGAGCGUCGAGCGUCAACAGACAAUCUAAACCCAACUAGUUCUGGAAGUAUGUGAGCGAGCAGCGAAAAGAAUUCGGUUGACCAUCUUGCAUGUCAUUUAAUGGAGUUUUAGACUCCGACACUAACGAAAUUUUCCAACUGUUCUCCGACAAAUUUUCAAACGUUUUUUCCGACGAGAGUCUUCCUUUACACUAAGUCGCUGUCGCCGCCAAUCUAACUCCUUUUCUAGGACGACCCAUCAACCGAAUUUGCGUCGAUAAUGCUGCCAUUCUUGCUGCCAAUUCCAAGCUGAAAGCGGCUGGUUCCCCGGGCCCAAAUGACGUUCCCUCGAUUUUUAUCAAAAAGUGCAUCAGCGGGCUUUUUGAAUCACUUCGACGAACAUGGUAACAACGUAACAUGGUCCGAACAUGAACAAUGUUUAAGGCCGAAAAUAGGCGUAAGCGUAUUGACAGGCAUUGUUUUUGUAACUCAAGUGAAUAAUUUUAGAAGCCUAACCACGAUGUUCAUGAUUUCAUAAACUCAGUCACCAUUUUCAUAAUUUAUUUUUGCGUUACCGCGGUGAUAUUCUAUUCUCUACUGGAAAUUCGCGAACCCCUAGAGGGCCGUUAAAUAGUUCCUGGGGGUUCGCGAAGAAGAAUAUCUUUUGCGGAUAGAUGUUGAAAGUCAAAGUUUUGGUUUUUUGCAACAGACUGAAAAUAGUGUUGAUAGUAUAAAAAUCGAUGCUAAACCGUGGGGGUCUGCAACAGAUUGCAAAGAAAAAAGAUUGAGAGCCGCUGAUCUAGAUCAUGAAAGUGGCGGAAUCGAAUGGUCUUCCUAACUGUUUCAUAAAUCGUCGCUGUUGUGCUAUCUUAUGACAAACGCCAUUUUGGGGUAAACUGAGUUAGAUAUGCCACAUCAUUUGGCUAAAAAAUCUCUACAAAGUGGCGUUUUCAGAAUUUUGACAUUCUGCUUGCUUACUGAGAUAUAGCGAGAAACGUGCUGAGAAAUUUUCAAUUUUUUACUUCAAUUAACUGUGUAUGGGGAUUGGCUCAAGAUAUCUUGAUGUAUAAGAUGUUUUUAUGUUUAAAACUAUCCGAGAAACACAAUGGUAUAAUAAUUUUGAAAAAUAAAAAUACACACAUUGUGUGAAAAAAGCAGCUUAAAUUUUAAAUUGGAAAUAUAGCAUGUUUGGCGACACUGUAACCAAAAAUAACUAUUUUUUCUAGAUUCCCUGACUCAUUUCCUUCAAGAUGCAUCUAACAGAUUGUUUAUAGACCAAAUGAAGCCAAAGAUAUAAAUAAAAGUUCAUAAUUGGUGAAUUUUUUCCAUGAAAAAUUUUCCAUGCGCGAUUAUGACACGCCAUACAAAUUUUGCCAUCAAUGCACACCUAUGACACGUGUGAGUGCGACUUUUGUUUACGUUUAUAGUAAAAACUCGCAACAUAAUCAACCGAUCUUCGUAAUAUUUGAGAGAUUAAUACAGAAUAGAUAGAAGCAUCAAUUGUAUUCUUUGAAUUGUUUAUACCAUUUAUAAGUUUCAAGCUAUUCAAUCUCAAACUUUAAAAAUCGUUUUUCUCGGAAUAUGCUAAAUGGCGCUUGUCAUAAGAUAGCACAACAGCGACGAAAUACGAAUGUCAGAUCUUGAUCAAUACACUAUGAACCAGGAACCAGUCCACCGAGAAAAGUUACAUCCAUGAAUAAUAUAUAAUACGAAAGUGAAUAUACUUUAUGAUAUCUUCUAAAUUAGUAAACUCAUUCUCGAGCAUGUAAAAUAAAUUUUGAUUAAUAUACUGUUAAUCUAGAACUAGUUCCCGAAGCAAUAAUACCAUCGAAGAUCAAGUAUUGAUUCGUGAUUUUAUUGAUAGAUUUAUGAAAAUUAUUUCUGGUCAGAAGCAAACUGAUUCAUAAAUCAUAAUAUCUUGAUCAUAAACUGGUUUGUGUGGUUUUGAAUUAGUUCACAAAAUCAAAACAGUCCUAAUAUUUAUUGGAGGACAAUUUAACAGAAUCCAGAAUAUUUUUCAUGGAUUCAGUCAUGAGUUGGGCCCGAUUUAUAAUAUAUUGAUCACAAUUCACUAUACGUUGACCUGAAAUAUUUCGCAAAACCAUGAAACAGUUUUCCACUUUUAUCGUAUAGUUCAUAUCGUAUACAAUUUUAUACAAAGAACUCAAAUUGCAUAACGUUCACAAAGUUGUGCACAAGCUCACAGCAAGCAAAACGAAUAGGCUGAAAAUGAAAACUGUUACUCAAAUGAUUUUUUCCACGGUCCACGCAAGAUUAUAAGUGUUUUACAAUUCAUGGUUCGUUAUUCCGAAUGGGAAAAACUACCCAUUGUACGUGUUUUUGUUUAGGCGAAUUUACCAAAGAAUUCAUAGCAACGUUAUUAUUGUUGUAGAUACUUGAAUAUUUCGAAGGGUAUUCCGAUCAUCAUUAUCAUAAUCUCAUAAAUAUUAUAUAGUUUUAUCAACAAUAUCCACUGCAAUCACAAUCAAAAUGCCUGUACAAAAACAAAAUCAAAAGAGUGCAAGUUAUGAAGUGGUAAUUUAGGUGAGUGCUACUAUUUAUCAGGUAGUCGAAAAGGACAUAUUUCUGGAUAUUUUGUUUUCAACCUUUAGUUACUCUGGAUUAGUAGUACUGACACAAACCCCUUUCGUGUAUAUUUAAACCCCUCCCACGUCCCACAUAGCGCUCCAUUGACCAACCAAUUAUGUUUCAAUCCUGGAGGCAUUUGUUUCUUAUUUUGUAUAGCCAAUAAAUCAACGAAAAACUAACCGAUUAAAACUGUUACUUAUUUCGUUUCUUUUCCAUAUUUCUCGAAAUGAACACUCCGAACCGUUGUGAAAAACAAUCGACUCCCCAACAUUCGUUCCACAUACCCACACAUUUGCAAUGCAUUUUGAAUAACACAAUGAAAUACGUCACUCUCUCAUUUCUUGCGACAAAUACAAUCGCGCACGAUUAUCUCAUUAACAGUCGUCACGGCUAUUCACGGCCUGAUUAGCGCAGCUGAUGAGCAGUUAAUAAAAAUAGAUAGCAUUAAAAAGUCGGCGAACAACUUAAGCAAGG